RNAcentral lists this unclassified non-coding RNA (530 nucleotides) under Zea mays. RNAcentral describes it as "misc RNA Zm00001eb371790". Lineage: Eukaryota; Viridiplantae; Streptophyta; Magnoliopsida; Poales; Poaceae. The record is from RNAcentral.
CGCCAUCUCAGACAACCACGGCACCAGGAAAGUUCGCCGCCGAGAAAAGCGCAAAGAGAGAGAGAGAGGGAGAGGGAGGUCCGCCACGGUGGAAGCGUGAGUUCAGCCGCCGCUGAGGCCUACAAGCUUGACUGGGGUGCUCGUCAUGCCCUCGGGGUCGUGCUCAAGGCUGCGAUUGAGCGAGGGAGGCUUCAACCACGCCUUAAUUGCUCAACACUGUUCACCGUCGCCGCAAAGCCGCCCUUCAACGUGGGCAACUCUCUUGGUGUCGUAUCCAACACUGCAGCGAGGUCACGAGAAACCUAAAGACCAAUUUGGUGAAGUGCUUGGAAACGCGAGUCACAGGUCAAGAACAAGUACCGUCAAGAUGAGGAGAAUGAAGGAUGUCGCGAUGAGUUCGUGAGAGGUCUAGGUCGUCGUCUUCCAGUCAACUAUGGUUGCAGGAUCGUCGUCUUCGUAUGAUGUAAUUAUAUAGCUAUUUUGUACAGAACUCUUAUUAUAUAGUAACAAGGUGACAUUCGUUUUUGUAC